Molecule: ribosomal RNA, 425 nt
Filed under: uncultured bacterium
Lineage: Bacteria
Description: bacterial SSU rRNA
Rfam family: Bacterial small subunit ribosomal RNA
Source: RNAcentral
AUUGAACGCUGGCGGCAUGCCUUACACAUGCAAGUCGAACGGUAGAGUAGCAAUACUUGAGAGUGGCGAACGGGUGAGUAAUAUAUCGGAACGUGCCCAGUCGUGGGGGAUAACGUAGAGAAAUUUACGCUAAUACCGCAUACGAUCUAAGGAUGAAAGCGGGGGAUUCGCAAGAACCUCGCGCGAUUGGAGCGGCUGAUAUCAGAUUAGGUUGUUGGUGAGGUAAAAGCUCACCAAGCCGACGAUCUGUAGCUGGUUUGAGAGAACGACCAGCCACACUGGGACUGAGACACGGCCCAGACUCCUACGGGAGGCAGCAGUGGGGAAUUUUUGGGACAAUGGGCGAAAGCCUGAUCCAGCAAUGCCGCGUGCAGGAAGAAGGCCUCGGUUGUAAACUAGCUUUGUUACGGUAACGGAAAAGGACG